UAGGGAAUCUUCGGCAAUGGACGGAAGUCUGACCGAGCAACGCCGCGUGAGUGAAGAAGGUUUUCGGAUCGUAAAGCCCUGUUGUUAGAGAAGAACGUUGGUAGGAGUGGAAAAUCUACCAAGCGACGGUAACUAACCAGAAAGGGACGGCUAACUACGUGCUAGCAGCCGCGGUAAUACGUAGGUCCCGAGCGUUGUCCGGAUUUAUUGGGCGUAAAGCGAGCGCAGGCGGUUCUUUAAGUCUGAAGUUAAAGGCAGUGGCUUAACCAUUGUACGCUUUGGAAACUGGAGGACUUGGGUGCAGAAGGGGAGAGUGGAAUUCCAUGUGUAGCGGUGAAAUGCGGAGAUAUAUGGAGGAACACCGGUGGCGAAAGCGGCUCUCUGGUAUGUAACUGACGCGGAGGCUCGAAAGGGUGGGGAGCAAACAGG
RNAcentral lists this ribosomal RNA (429 nucleotides) under Bacillota bacterium. RNAcentral describes it as "Firmicutes bacterium partial 16S ribosomal RNA". It matches the Rfam family "Bacterial small subunit ribosomal RNA", at positions 355 to 776 of the family's 1533-position model. The record is from RNAcentral. Lineage: Bacteria; Bacillati; Bacillota.